RNAcentral lists this unclassified non-coding RNA (387 nucleotides) under Hevea brasiliensis (rubber tree). The record is from RNAcentral. Lineage: Eukaryota; Viridiplantae; Streptophyta; Magnoliopsida; Malpighiales; Euphorbiaceae.
UCAUUACAGGAAUGCGAUCAAGUUGCUGUGCAGCGUAAAACUUUUGUGGCAGAUGAUAUCCCCUUCCCAGAAAUAUCAGGUUGUUCUGUAGCAAUGGAUGAAGCUAAAACAUAUAAAACUGCAACCGCAGGUUCUACAAAAGAUGGACAAUCUGGUCCAUCUGGAAGGGCUGGUGGUGUACCUUCUAAUUCUUCAUCUGCCCUCUUUCCAACAUAUCAUGCUAGUGGACGAGGUAGUUGGCAAGGUUUCGUUGCUUAUGAGGCAUGUAUUCGACUAUGUCUUCACUCAUGGGCGAAGGGUUGCCAUGAGGCUCCAGCUUUCUUGGAAAAUGAAUGUGCCAUGUUACGAGAUGCUUUUGGCGCCAGGCAAGUGUUGUUACAAUCGGAG